Molecule: ribosomal RNA, 813 nt
Filed under: Bacillus pumilus
Lineage: Bacteria; Bacillati; Bacillota; Bacilli; Caryophanales; Bacillaceae
Description: bacterial SSU rRNA
Rfam family: Bacterial small subunit ribosomal RNA
Source: RNAcentral
UGGGCGUAAGGGCUCGCAGGCGGUUUCUUAAGUCUGAUGUGAAAGCCCCCGGCUCAACCGGGGAGGGUCAUUGGAAACUGGGAAACUUGAGUGCAGAAGAGGAGAGUGGAAUUCCACGUGUAGCGGUGAAAUGCGUAGAGAUGUGGAGGAACACCAGUGGCGAAGGCGACUCUCUGGUCUGUAACUGACGCUGAGGAGCGAAAGCGUGGGGAGCGAACAGGAUUAGAUACCCUGGUAGUCCACGCCGUAAACGAUGAGUGCUAAGUGUUAGGGGGUUUCCGCCCCUUAGUGCUGCAGCUAACGCAUUAAGCACUCCGCCUGGGGAGUACGGUCGCAAGACUGAAACUCAAAGGAAUUGACGGGGGCCCGCACAAGCGGUGGAGCAUGUGGUUUAAUUCGAAGCAACGCGAAGAACCUUACCAGGUCUUGACAUCCUCUGACAACCCUAGAGAUAGGGCUUUCCCUUCGGGGACAGAGUGACAGGUGGUGCAUGGUUGUCGUCAGCUCGUGUCGUGAGAUGUUGGGUUAAGUCCCGCAACGAGCGCAACCCUUGAUCUUAGUUGCCAGCAUUCAGUUGGGCACUCUAAGGUGACUGCCGGUGACAAACCGGAGGAAGGUGGGGAUGACGUCAAAUCAUCAUGCCCCUUAUGACCUGGGCUACACACGUGCUACAAUGGACAGAACAAAGGGCUGCAAGACCGCAAGGUUUAGCCAAUCCCAUAAAUCUGUUCUCAGUUCGGAUCGCAGUCUGCAACUCGACUGCGUGAAGCUGGAAUCGCUAGUAAUCGCGGAUUCAGCCCCAUGCGCAUUCGG